This 702-nucleotide long non-coding RNA is filed under the name Trifolium pratense (red clover). Its description in RNAcentral is "long non-coding RNA (TPRA_LNC009516)". The record is from RNAcentral. Lineage: Eukaryota; Viridiplantae; Streptophyta; Magnoliopsida; Fabales; Fabaceae.
GGAGUUCUACUCAUUCCGACAUAUAUCCAUGUUGUCAUCAUCUGCACUAAAAUGACUCACCACAAAAGCAAACAAAGAUCACAUAACAAAAGCAAACAUAGAUGACACAACAAAAGCAUAAUGAACCUAUUCCCCAAAGACUCCCGAAAGACUCGACCAGCUCUGAUACCACUAAUUGUAACACCCCCUUUUCAGAGAUCGAAAAGAAGAGCGUCACGGUUCUCUACCCAAAUUUAAAUGCUUAAAUACAAGCAAAUACAAUGUUGCUGAUUUAUUUUUCUUAAAAAGAAAGUAAUAAGUGAGAAAUGUACUCUAAUAUAUGAGUACUAUUUUUGUUUCUUUAAAAAUUUCAAAAUACACUUUAUGUAAAUCUAAGGUAAGCCCAUGAAUAAUAUGCAUCACUUAUGUCAAACAAUCAUCAAGAAAUUUCGCUCAAAGAAUUUUCAAAUAUAAAACAUUUCCAUUUCACCUAAGUAUCUUACAAUUUUUCAAUAUGAAAUAAUAAAAGAUAAAUUCCUACAAAAGACUCUAACCCACAAAUAAUCACGAGCUGGUCAAACACCACAGAUGUCUGUCAUCCAGUCCAAUGACGUCAUCAAUACAUAUCAAAGAGAUCUUUCUCUUCAGACUCCAAAGAUAAACUAGAUCACUAAUCAACACUAACGGUCCUUGUAUUAUAAUUAAUGUCUCUCACAAUCACGU